UGCUUGAAAUGCAGGUGCAGCUAGAUUCUUUCUUCUGAGCUAUAAGCAUACUUAUUUAAUCCCGUCAAACGGAUUAUUACUUUUGCUGCAGCUAACAUAAAGGAUAAUUGUCCUCAUUGCUGACUGAUGCAGGAUUUUACGACACUUUAUGUGUUGUUCAACUCGAUCUCAAAUCAAGUAAGACUACCCGCUGAACUUAA
RNAcentral lists this unclassified non-coding RNA (200 nucleotides) under soil metagenome. RNAcentral's name for it is "partial contains internal transcribed spacer 2 and large subunit ribosomal RNA". The record is from RNAcentral.